GAUGGACCCGCGGUGCAUUAGCUAGUUGGUGAGGUAACGGCUCACCAAGGCAACGAUGCAUAGCCGACCUGAGAGGGUGAUCGGCCACACUGGGACUGAGACACGGCCCAGACUCCUACGGGAGGCAGCAGUAGGGAAUCUUCGGCAAUGGACGAAAGUCUGACCGAGCAACGCCGCGUGAGUGAAGAAGGUUUUCGGAUCGUAAAACUCUGUUGUUAGAGAAGAACAAGGAUGAGAGUAAAACGUUCAUCCCUUGACGGUAUCUAACCAGAAGGCCACGGCUAACUACGUGCCAGCAGCCGCGGUAAUACGUAGGUGGCAAGCGUUGUCCGGAUUUAUUGGGCGUAAAGCGAGCGCAGGCGGUUUCUUAAGUCUGAUGUGAAAGCCCCCGGCUCAACCGGGGAGGGUCAUUGGAAACUGGGAGACUUGAGUGCAGAAGAGGAGAGUGGAAUUCCAUGUGUAGCGGUGAAAUGCGUAGAUAUAUGGAGGAACACCAGUGGCGAAGGCGGCUCUCUGGUCUGUAACUGACGCUGAGGCUCGAAAGCGUGGGGAGCGAACAGGAUUAGAUACCCUGGUAGUCCACGCC
Molecule: ribosomal RNA, 586 nt
Filed under: uncultured bacterium
Lineage: Bacteria
Description: bacterial SSU rRNA
Rfam family: Bacterial small subunit ribosomal RNA
Source: RNAcentral